Long non-coding RNA from Aricia agestis (brown argus), 491 nucleotides. RefSeq lists it as uncharacterized. The record is from RefSeq and is a predicted model, not a curated record. NCBI's taxonomy places the organism in Eukaryota, Metazoa, Arthropoda, Insecta, Lepidoptera, Lycaenidae. The transcript has 2 exons.
UUUAACUAAAAUUAGUUUUAUCAAAAUAUUUAGUUUUAUUAAUAUACUCCUACCAUUUGAAACAGUAAAAUGUUUUUUUAAAUAUUAAAUAAUACAUAAAAUUUUAAUAAUUCAAUCCUAAUGCACUAUUUACUAAAUCAGUACCUAUUCCAGUAUCCAGUUUGUUUAUAAUUUCCUUGGUCUAAUGCGAGUUUUUCUUGACUGUAUGCUAUCACAAUGUUAGGUCUGUAUUAUAUUUUUAGCACUAUGAGUUGUGACUUAUGAGUUAUGAAGUAAGCAACGCCAUCUUGAGAAAAAAAGUCAAUACUCUAUGGUCGAAAAACUCCCAUUACAAAUCUCUGAAGCUUGAUGGCCUGAAAUCUGUAACUCGGUCCAAUUUUUCAAACGAAUGUUCACCAUUAUAUUUACCUUUAUGUUAAAAUGUAUACAUACAUUGAUUCAUAUUAUUGUAGUAAACUACUUAUGUACAAUAAAACAUUUCAAAACUGUUA